UUUAAUGCUCUCACUUAGCUGUAGCACUUUGAAGAAUUCAAAUUUAUUUCUUAAAUUGAGUAACUACUUUUGUUUAGUUAGUUAGAACGGUGGUUGCUAAGCUUAAGAAUCUGCAUUGACUUUUGUUUUCUCCCCAACACUUCUCUUGAGGUUGAAAUCAGUGGUGGGAGGAAAGUGUCGAAUUUUAGCACUAUUCGCAUGUUGUAUACAAUUGGGAUUUGGGUAAUUACUUCUGUCUUGCACAUUAUAAUGCCAUAAUUUGGUAAAGUCCUAAUUAUUAGUAAUUAUAGCAAUGACGAAAUAUUGUAUUCCUACACCCAACCAAGGGUUAUCAUUUUGUUGGCACUAUUGUAUUAUAUAUACUUGUCUAGUUAGUUCAUGCUUUAUAUGUAUGAUAAAAGGCAAAAAUCAUAAAGGUCAUUAAAUAUUAAAUCUUUUCUUUUGUUGCCCAGAGUAUUUUUUAGAAAUUUGAGUUGCGUCGUGGAAGUCAAAAGUUAGUUAUUCCUAUAAGAAUAUUGAUGUCAUUUUACAUAUUUCAUAGGUUUUUUCUAUCUAAAGCAUAAAAUUACCUUUUUUAAAAAAAAAAUCAUAGAUAUUAUUUUUUUCAUUUGACACUUUGAUGUGUAGUACUUUUCUUCCAGUGCGAAGUUUAACAAGGAUUGGUUCGAAAUUGAGAUUUGUGCUUGUGUAGAAUUUCAUAUGGGAUCUAAUUGUCUAUCUUUGCAUUAUUUUCAGUUCUCAAAACUGAAACGCUUUAAAAUUGAACCAGCAAGUAUGUUAUGUAACUUUAUGAUAUUAUCGUUUAGAAAAUUUUGCCUGGCUGUCGAUGUGUAAUAGAAAUUAUAAGUCCGGUUGUCAAUAUGUAGUAGAAAUUAAAAUAUGUAAUUGCAAGUGUAUAUGACUUAAUUUUCUAUUGGGUGAAUUAGAAUCAAAUGGUGUACACUUGAGUAAUAUAUCACUAGGAAAAUAUAUAUGUUGUUAUGAUAUAAUAUGCCAUGGGUUAGACACAAAUGUGUAUAUGGAUGAACUUUUAUAUUCAUGUGUUGAAGCAUAUUAAUUGUUAACCAAAUUUUGUAUCUAAGCAUGGUUUAAGUAAAAGAAAUUGUAGACUUACUGCAAGGAAGAACUUUAGAAAUUUAGUUUUUAUUGUUGGGAUUUUUUUAAUAAAGAUUAAUCUCUCGUAGUGAUUAAAAGUCUUGCAUUUUAAUUUGUUGCUUAUGUUGUUAUGUGCAGAUUUUGCUUUCCAGGCACUUUAACUAUGUGUUAGCUACUGGGGCAUUUGUAAUUCCAACAUCAAUUUACUUUCUACUCAAGGUAACCACUUCUAUUACUCCUUACAGUUUAGGCCAAUCGCUUAUGCAGUUUGAAUGGUGUUCUUUAUUCCAUUUCCUUUUGGAUAAAUUGAAUAAGUUAUUUUGAUAUUAGGUGCAUGGAUAUACUCUUAGUUCUUGUAUAAGAACUAUUAUUUUAGAAGUUAUUUUGUACCCAAUUCAAGCUAAAUAUCAUCUACAGAGGAUAAACUAGUUAUGUCUCUAAAUUUUCUUGCUUUUGUCUUUUGUAAUUUUAUUUGUUUUUACAUAAAUGACUAUCAUUAUAUGCACACAUCAGAAAUUUGUUUUUAAACCAUAUUACCUUAAGAGGGAAAAGCAAAAGAACUUAAAAAAUAUAGAAAGGACUGCCACCGAGGUAUUUUUAUUGGAAUGCAUUAGGAUUCCUAAUUUUAUUACCUUUUGGCCUAUUAUUACUUUCUUCUAGAUACUUGAAAUCUUCUUUUGUUGUAUACUUACUAUGUAACUUAUUUCUAGUUAUAUGUUUAUGUAGUUGGUCAUAGUAUUUCUCAUAUAAAUGAAAGUUGAGAUGUAAUCCAUGUUGUCUUUCACCAUAAUUUUCAAAGCCAUGAUUGAAUUCCUAUAUGUUUUGGCAGGAAGGUGGUGCAUAUAACAAUUUUGAGAUUAAAUAUUGGUGUUGCAUACUUUUUUAUAAGCAAAUAAGUUGUGUUCAAAUAAUUUUAAGAAUAUAUCUUUACUUGGUGUGUAUAAAGGUCCGAGAGGCAAGGAAUGCAGUUGCAAAAGCUCAAUAGUUGUUAGAAAAUGUGACCAACAGAAAAAGAAAUAAGCAACAAGAAACAGGUGGACUUGUUAUUACUAAUGCAAUUUAUGAAAAUCGUAAAGCUUUGAAGAAAGGAGAUGAGCUGAGGGAAGCAAACAAUGAAUUACCUUACAAGUGUUGGAUGUAACAUUAUCUCUAAAUUUCCUCGUUAACAAUUUAGGGAAACUUAAAGCUUGUUUCUUUGACUAUAUGAUAAUGUAUGUCAUUUGGUUUAUUGUGAUAAUGCCUUAUGUUUAAUUAGCCAAUAACUCAAGAAAUUUGGAAGACAAAAUUCCCACUAAAUAAGCUAUGGAAGUUGUGCACCAAAAACCAUCCAACAUGGAUUCUUUCAAUUUUAAGACUCUUGAAACAUGUAUUUUGUAAAUACAGAAGCCAAUUUGAUAAUUUGACUAUGGAUACAUUUUAGUUUGUUUAUUGGCUUCAUAUGCAUCUGAAAAUCUAGUAGCUGAUAGAUCCCAUUACCAAAACUUAUCUUUUGUAUUGACACAGUUUCAUGGUGGUGUAAAGAAGUCAGGCAUUAUGGGCUUCUACGAUCCUUGCCCUAGGGAAUCUAAGCAAUUACAUGUUGAGUACACUUAUUGCAGUGACAGAUAUGAGGUACUACGGACUAAUCACUUUUAUUUUUUUUGAACAAAAUUAUUUUGAUAAAUGGUAACGAAGAAGGAUAUUGACCAACUUGAAAUUUUAGAAUCAGGUUGUUGUAGAUGAUUACGAGGAGUUGCAAAUACCUAAAUUGGUGCACAAAAUCUGAAUUUACAAAUUUUCACAUGAUUCUCUUUUUGACUCUGACAAUUUUGUAUACCAGACAUGCUUCAAGGUACCAAAAGUUUCAGUCAUAUAAAUUCAUUAGAUUGGAUCGUUCGCAACCUGAAUAGAAGCAUUGAAUGGUAUUUUAUUUGGUGUAAUUUUGUGAUUGCUGAAUAAAUUCCUUGUUUAUGUGAUUUUGCCUCUAAUUCAAACACCUCAGCAAUCCUUUCAAGAUUAAAGUUGGUGAACCUUCCCUAAAUAUUUCAAGAUUGGGAGAUGCCUCUGUUUUCUGCCUUAGAUUAGUCUAAUCAUUGUUUUAUUUUUAUUUUUAUUGUUGACAUAUCGAUAACAUACUUUUAGAAUAAGAGAAUGGUUUGUAGAUACUAUGGAUUUUGUAAUUAUUAGAUGCCACGAAUUAAGAAUAGUUGGGAAAGCAACUAAAUUAAACCCUGUUUUGUGUGCAAUUUACUAUCACCAUGUAAAGUUGUUAACAAACAAAUUGGAAUUGUUCAAAUAAAAGCAUAAAAAUUCAAAAAACUAUAAAAAAUUUUAAAAAAUAUAUAUCCUAAAAGGACAAAUGGCAAAUCUUCUACUUCAUGUUAUUCCCUUAUGCCUAACUUUAUGCAAUUUCCUUUUAUGGUUUCGAGCUCACUUUCUUUUACCUUUCUUCUACAUAAAAAUUGCAAAUUUGAUGACAAAUCAAGUUAAAACAUUCAUCGUUUCUCUAAAAAACUUAGUCCUUCACUUAUUCCGCAACAAUCCCACCAUUUUUCAUUAAUCAAACCUGAAAAUGGCAAAUAUUAAACCCUUAAAGUUGUAUCCAAGUUUCCCAUUUGGGUAUUUAUUGAAUCCCAUUAGUUCAAAUGGGUUAGCUACCAUGAGGAUCGAGGAGGGGGGAGUAGAGACUUUUUCUUCGGUGAGAAUUUUGUGGGAAAGCUUUAUUUCCUCUAUCUUUUUUCUAUAUUUAUUCAAAUAUUUUGGAAAUAUAUAAUAUGGAAUUAAAUUUUCCCUUUUUAUUUUAUUUUGGAACAAAGCUUGAUUUGAGGAUUAGAAUGAAAUGUUUUAUGAUGUUUUUCUUGGUUUAAUGGUGUGAAGUUAAUGUUCUUUCUUUAUACGGUUUCAUUUCUCUUUUAUGAUUUUUAUUUUUUUUACAUUUUUAUAACUUUUUUAAUUUUUAUUUAUUUUCAAAAAAAAUAAAAUUUUUAUCAAAAAAUCAAUUUUAAAUAAUUUCCUAUUUUAUCUUUUAUUUUUAUCUAUUUUUUCAUUUUCUAAAUUGGGACUAAAUUGAUAAUUUUUUUAAACAAUGAAAGUUAAAUUUGUUGAAUUUUUUAGAACUAGGAUUAAAUUGAUAGAAUAUGUAAAUAUUGGAGGGAUAAUUUUAUUAUUAUGCCAAUAAAAAAUCCACAUCAUACUCCUAUUAUGGACUUAACAAUAGAGAGACAAAAAUCAAAUUUUGAAAAUGUUUGUGACUAAAUAAAAAAAUCAAUUGGGUGACCAAAAAAAAAAACUCUCAUAAUUGGAUGACUAUGCAUGUAGUUUACCCAAAAAAUAUAAUACUAACUAUUUUAGGAUUUUUUUAUUAUAACUAGUUGCAAUGCACAAAUUUAUUGUUUUUAAUAUUAAAAAUAUAUUUAAUAAUUUACAUUAUUUUUUGUUACAUAAACAUUUAUUUUUUUAUAGUAUUUAUUUAAAGUUUUCAUUUUAAGUUACGCCACAUAAGAUAUUAUGUGUCAUUUAAUAAGUAAAUUAAGACUUUAGUAACGAAAUGACCUAAUUGAUAUAACCUCAAUAGUUUAGGGGUGUAAUUAGAAUUAUUUGAAGUUUAGGGACCAAUUUAGAAUGAGGAUCAUAGUUUGAGGAUGCUUGGUGCAAUAAACCCAAGUUUUCUUCUUAAAUUUAGCUACGUGUCAUUUAAUAGUUAAAUAAACGGUUUUAAUAACUAAUGGACUUUACUGAUAUAACAUUGAUAAUUUAGGGAUAUAUUUAGAACAUUUGAAACUUAGGGACCAAAUUAUGAUGAGAGUCAUAGUUUGGAGAUGCCUGAAUUUAAUAGAUGUACAUUUUAUAUUUAAAUAAAUAAAACUAGAAAUUCUAUCACACAUAUGUGCUUGUGAAAACCAAGAACACAUAUAUAUGUAUAAAAAUCAUAUACUAUAAAUAAAAGAUAUAUGGUUUGAAACUAAUAACAAUAACAAUACAAAUGCAAUAUGUGUUAAAUGAGAUAUGCAAUAUGGAUGGGUGAAAACCUUUUUGUAAUACUAUUAAAAUGCACCAAAAAUUUAAAAUGAAUCAUUGGUUAUAGUAGUAAAGUUGAGGUUUUAUACAUGCUAAUAGCAUUAGUUUAAAUCUAAUUAUUUACAUUUUUUAUUGGUUUCAUUUAAAAUGUAAAAAGAAAAAAGUACCCUAGUAAGAAUAUAACUUAUUUCAAAUAGUAAGAAUAGUUUAGUAAUUUUCCCAACCCAACUGGUGUCUGAUUGACUUGUAAUUGUUCAGUUACCUGAUUAGUUAAAAGACUUGGUUAGUCAAGACACAAGACAGCCUAAGCAUAUUUAUAUGUUGGCCUUUUUGAUCUGGACCUUUUUGGAUGUUGUUUUAAUAAGCAAAUAGGCUUCUUGGACGUUCUGAUUCCAAUAUUCAAAGCUGAAAUUAAAGUAGUUGUAUUUACGAAGAGUUUAAGUUUGACUUGAAUUAUGGUAAGAGUUUUUUCUCAAUCUCAAUGACAUGUUUAAUGGCUAUUUUUAAGGAGAUUUAUUCUAUUUAACUUAGGACUUCGUUAAUAAAUAUUUUUCACUAGAUGUCACUUACAAAAAGUCAAGUUAAUCUCGAUUUAUUUGAGCUUAUCCUUGUUGCCUGUGAAGCCUAUAAAUAGGUUAUUAUGCCGCAUAUUUGAAGGUGCCUUUUAGAGUGCUUUUGACUGGUUAUUUAUUCAUUUUCUAUUUGGUAUUUUUGCACUCUUGUGUUAGGCUUUUAUUAGAUAGUUUAUAUUUGAUGUAAGUGAGGUUUUUGGGUGAGUGGUUUGUAACAAUUGGGAUCGGUGGUGGAGCUCCAAUUACUUCUUUGUGUAAUGGUAGAUUGGGCUUGAACCAAUAGGUGAUCCGAAAAAUUAUUGAAUAAGAAUCAUUCACUGAACGAAGCUCUACAAAGUAGGAUUAUUUUCGAACUGCGUUAACAAAGGACUAUGUGCAAAUCUCUCUUUUUAUUUUUUUUCGUUGACUGAUCAAUCCUGUAACUGAACACGACAUUCAACAGUCAAUCUAAACUUAUAACAAACCUACUAGUUUUUUUUUAAUACUAUUAAAGUGUACAAAAAAUUGAUUAUAUGCAAUAUUUAUGGGUAAAAAAUUGUGCAAUACUAUUAAAAUGUAUAUAAAAAAACAAAAUAAAGCAUUAAUUAUGCUAAUAGAGUUGAGGUUUUAUGCACGUUGGUAGUAUGGGUUCAAAUAUCAUUGUUUGUAAAUUUUUAAUGAUUUUCAUUUAAAAUCUAAAAAUACAAAAGUAUCAUUAUAAGAAGGAAAAUUAUUUCAAAUAUGUAAUGACAAAUUAAUAAUUUCCUCAACCGAGUCGAGUUAGCGCAGUUGUUGAUACAAUGUACAACAAGGAAGACAGGAUGAGAUUGUGGUGGCCCAAAAGAGAUCGGUUCACCUUAACAAGCGAAAAGCUAGAGAAAGACGAGAAGAUGGGGAAAAGGCUAUGAGGACUUAGGAAGCUUGGUUGUAAAAAGUAAAUGCUCAGGGAGAAGGAUCCAUUUCUCUUUGUUUAGGAGGGUAUUUAUAAGAGAUGUCCUCUUGUCUGUUAGUAUGACGAGCCAAGUCGUUAUAAAGGAGGUUGUCAUCAUAGAUUAUGUGAAGGACGUACACGAUGGGAUCCAUUCUAUUAUUGCUUUAGCCAAUACAAGUUUGUUACACUUAUAGGUCCUAGUAGUCACUGGAAAGAGUAUUUACAUUUGGAGUGUUUACAUAAAAAUGAGUGACCAAGCCACAAGCCACAAUGAGCAGAUGGCUAGAUGAAUGGAGGAUAUUUCUUUUAUCAAUAAGUAGCUUCGCAGCAAAUAGCUAAUGCGGGAGGUUGGACAAUUAAAGAUAACUCGAGGGAUGGAGGGUAAAAGUCGGAGGUUGGACAAUUAAAGAUAAACUUUCUAGAAGUGCUAGGUGUGUAGCUUGGGUGGUGAUAUAACAAUAAUAUAGAUUAACAAUACAAAAGGAUUAUUGUAAGAAUAUAAUUUACUUUAAAUAUAUAAGAACAGUAAUUUCCCAAUGGAAUUAGUGUUUUAAUUUACUAUUUACACCAACUCUACCUGGGUUUAAAUAAUAACAUAGAUUAAUCCUUCAUUUCAUAGAUUAUUUUAGUAUAGAUAAACUAAAGGUGGAAAAUUUAGGGAUUUAGAAGUGGUCUCGAUUUGGGGAUAAAAUGGCGAGAGCGAUCUCACCAUGCAUCUUCUGUCAAAUUGCUGGAAGUUCCAACUCCACGCCCCUCCUUCAUUCUGUUCGUUCCUUGGUUAUUUUUUCUCUUUAUAUAAUAAUCCUUUUGGCUAUCAUUUUAAUUCCACUUUCGCCUUCUUUUCAACUUGAAACUUUACCUUCUAAUUAAAUCUGUUCCACUCUUUUCAGGAUGAUAAGGUCGUUGCAUUUAAAGAUAUCAACCCUUCAGCCUUCAGGUUUCAUCAACUGAUUGAAAUGUAGAAUGCUUUGUUCCAUGAAAAUUGUGUAAUUUUAACCCUGAAAUUACUGAUUUUAACUUUAUAGGCAUUACUUGGUAGUCCCUGUGGAGCACAUUCCGACAGUCAAUGAUCUUCAAAGAAGAAAUGAGGAUUACACUUUGGGUAAAGUUCCCUUUGGGUAAAGUUCCCUUUUUUUUUUUUUACUUUUUUUUAUUUACCCUUUUCUCCUUUCAUUUUAUUUUAUUUUCCUUAGCUAAGUUUAUUUUUUUUCAUUAUGUUAUUAUUCUUUAGUAAGUCAUAUGAUAAAUGUGGGGGAAACGCUGUUACGCCGAGAUGCACCUCAGCCAAAUCAAUACAGGUAUUGCUUCUUAUAAUGCAAAUAAGUUUGCUAUAUGAAUCUCCUGUGAUGUACUAGCUUAUGGAAUUGAUCAAUGUUGAAUAUUGCUUAUGAGUUUUCAUUUCCUGACUUGACUGCCAUGUUCUGUUUAUAACUGCAUUGCAAUGUUACUGUAAUGGUUUUCUUACUCUCUGCAUUAAAACUCGGAAUUCAGUUUCCCCUUCAAAGUCAUGUAAAUGCUUGAUAACUUUUGCAAUCUCAUUCUUGUUGGAGAAAGGUAGUAUAUUUUUUAGUUAUGUUUUAUUGCAUGAGCUCGGUGGCAAAGGAGCAGAUGUUGCCCUUUGUGAGGAGAAUGACGGGGAAGAGUAUCAAGAAUGUUAGCCUUACGUUGCUCAUCCAAAUCUAUUUAAAAUCCAUGAUGGAUAAUGCUCCCACUUCAAUUUCAAAUCUGCUUGUAAAUCAUAAAUAAAACAUUGAAUGGAAAUACAGUAGUAUUAUUUACCUAAUGUUUAAUAAUUCUUGAACGAAGCAUGUCCUGGCCUCAUAAGUUACCUCAAUUCAUGUUUUAUUUGGGAAAAAAUAAAACAUUUCUUUGUCUCUGAAUGUGUUAACUCAAAGAAGGUUUAUCUUCUGAUCCUCUUGAUCCUAUGGGUUUUGGCAGAUUUGGUUUUCAUCAGCCUCCAUUUAAUAGUGUUGACCAUCUCCACCUCCAUUGUUUCGCUCUUCCCUUCAUACCUAGGUAGGUGUUUGGGAGUUAGUAGUUUAAUCUUCUUUCUUUUUUAUUAAAUUAUAUUUUUAUUUUAUGCUGAAAUUUCCCAAAUAAGUUACAAAGGCUUUAAGUGCUCAUUCUAAUUCUUAAAAUAUAUGACAGAUGGAAACAAUUAAAAUAUGUCUUUGGGACCACUUGGUGGGUUUAUUGAGGCUGAGAAGUUGUUGGAGAAGAUAAAACCUUUGUCACCAAUCCCUCCAUAGGUGCAAUGGAAUCACAUUUGGAUUUCUCUCCCAUAUUGAACUCUAGGUUUUUUUUAUAUAUGUGAAGUUCCUUGAGAAGUCAUCAUUAUUUGUUCAAGAUAGAGAAUGCCAUUAAAAACUUAUUCUUCAUAAGCUCUAUGAAUAUUUGUUAUUAUACUAGAGAAGGGUCAUUGUUCUUAAUAAGCAGACAUAAACUUCUUCACAGGAUCAUAUUCAAAAUGUCCACAGAUUUUUCAAUGUCAAUUGUGUAUUCCAGAUGUACAAGUGUCUUAUGAAUCUGCAAUUUAUGAUGCUUGAGAUUCUUGUAGCAUAAUCAAUUCCCAUAUUCAUAAUUUUGUUUCAGGUCACAUUGUUUUAGACUAAUGAUAAAUUUGUCUGUACACGAAAUGCUAAAUUUAUGGCUAAAUUGACUCUUGUCAGCUUCUAAAAAACUUACAGGAGCAAAAGUAGAGUUUUGAUACUGGGGAAGAUGAACUGAUCCCCUGUUAAUCAUUUUUACAUUUUUAAGCAUUGGUCAUAUAUGUAAUAACUAUAGAAGUUUUGUGAAGCAAAAAAAAAAAAAAAAUAUAUAUAUAUAUAGAAGUUUUAAUGGUUAGUACUGCAACCCAUAUGAUAAAUGGUGGUAACUGUUAAAGAAGGUAACUUUUUUCUUUUGGUGAUUACCAAAAGUUACUGCUCUUGAUAGAUUUGGCAUCCAUUGUGCAAUUUGUAUGACAUGGUUAUUUCAUCUUGCUAUACUAACACACUAUUUGUAAAGAAUUGUUGUUCAUAAGUUUCAACUUAAUCUCUAUUAUUAUCCUUGUUAGUAUUGUAGGUUUACUUCAGCUCCACAAUCAGGAAAUACUUCAAAGAGUUACUUUAGUUCUUUUAUGAAAUGCUUAAUUGUUUUUAGUUAUUUCUUUACAAGAAUUCAAGGAGAAGCAUAACAAAUAUUAGUAUGAAUAUAUGGUAGGCCAGUGAAAUGCAUGUUACUUAGUGACUGAAUCAUUUAAGAAGAAUUUAUCCAUCAUAUGCAGUUCUGUUUGGUUUGAAUUUAUUUGUAAGGCCCUCAACAACGGGUUUGACAGUUGCUUAAAUUUCUAAUAAAAGUCUAAUUCGGGUUCUAUUUUUGGGUCUGGGGAUGAUGAUCUUUGUUAGAUAUUAUUAGUUCAUGAUCAACACCUUCCUUUAUUCAUAUGGUAGAUAAAUUGCAUUACUGGUUGCGUCCUGUGCAUGAAGUAAGUUGUGUUCUUCUUAAACAUUAAUAACUUUGGAGGCUUAUCUGAGGAUGCUACAAUAGGGAAGUCAGAGUUUUAAUGUGAUUAAUGUGACUUAACUCUCAUCAUUUCUUUCUGUCUAUGAAAACCACUUUUUGAAUCUUGAGAUCAAACAAAAUACGAUCUACUCACAGGCAUCUUGUGUAACAAGAUUGAAGACAGCUUGCAGAGCCUUUAAAGUGCUCUAUGUCAUGGCUUAAUACUGUGUUUACCAUAUGCUGGAAUCCUACUGACCUGGUUGAUGAAAUGAUGGCAAAAGUAGCCUAUUUUUUAACAUUCAAGGAAACAAAUUCAAGUGAGGAAGUAAACCCAGUUCGAUGAAUGGAACGAACCCAACACAAUUUUCACACAACUCCCAUUGUUUAUAGUUUCUUAUGGAGUUUGAGGAUUGAGGAAGGCACCAACAACUUGCAAAGCAAAGGAUUUGGGUGUAUGCUUGUGCUGUUUUGAAAGAUUUGAUUUUAGUUGUGCAGAUGAAUCUAACUGAACUCUGGUUCCUUUUGCUGUAAGCCUGAAACUGUACCAAAAAUAAACUAAUAAGAAAUCCCAUGUCUGCCUCUAAAAGAAUACAAUAGUGUAUGUGUUUUUUCUAGAGUCUAUAUUUCAUUCCAUACAGAGGAUGAUGCUUUGCUUAAUCUUUUUUCUUAAUUUGUCAUUUAGAAAAAUGAUUUAUGUUAUUAUCUUCUUCUCUAUCAAGCUCAAUCGUUCUUGCUUUAAACACCCAAGCCCUCUUUAAAUAUUCUCUUUCUCUUUCCUUUUUUUUCUCGCCUUUUUUUUAGAAGUUACUUGCUGGGAGAUACAAAGGUGAGAGAUUUAGGUGUAUGGUAGUGGAAGAUACAUGCACCAUCCAUGUUUUGCCCUUGAUAGGGUAAAAGGACAAAAGAUAGCGCCCAACUCCCAAACUUCAGAGCGUAAUGCUUAGCUAAGGGCACUCACGAGAUUUCCCUCUUUUCUCUUGUCGCAUUAAUGGAUUACUUUGUUUUCUUUCAAUACCAUAAAUCAUCACAACAGAUAUCCUUCCAUUUGUUUCCUAGACCAUUAAUCAAGUUAUUAGUGUCCUAUGUAUGUAGGUCCUUUGAUUGCUACAAUCAUGUAACAUCCCAAAUACCAUCAGAUUUUUCAGAUGAAAAAACACAAACUUUCUUCCCAACAUUAUUAUUUCAUAAACUAUUGGAUAAGGUUUGUAAUUUAAGUACUGAAUAUGAGAAAUGAAAAUGAAAAUUCAUAUAAUGACUUUUAGCAGAUAACAAGUAAAUAGCAGUGCUGGCAAUAUCUAUAAAGAAACUGAUAAAAGAAGACUCAUAAAGUAGUUUGUUUUUCUUACUUGCAUUGGGUAAUUUGAUUAUGUGCUGCAUUUGGAACACUCUUAUCAAUGUUUUGCUGCUUCUUCCCAAGUUAUUCAGGUUUAUUGCUGUAAUACUAACCAAGGCUGCCUCAAGUAAUUGCUAGUCAGCCCAUGCAGUAAAACAGAGUGGUUAUUAAAACUUUAACAUUCAAAGAUAUUGAUUAAAUUAUCUUUAAACUUUUAACAUAUUCAAUAUUUUACAUUAUAAAUUACGACUCUCACUUUGGACUUGGGUUAUUACUUUAUUUUGCUAACAAAUUUCAAUUAUUUUUCAUUCUUGAAUUGACAAAAAUGCAGUCCCUACUCUCCAUAAUUAUGAGACAAUUGAAGAGAUUGGUGGGAACUCAAAACCUUUGUAUUUCAUGCAAUUUCUUAAUUAAUUGAUUUUUUUAUAAUUCAGACCUCAUUGAUUUCUUGGGAAUCAUUUCCAAAGGCCUCGAAUUGCAUCAUCUUGAGAAGUAAUAAGUGUUAAUUUAGAAAUAGGUUUAAACUUUUGUCCUUGUUCAAAGUCUCAAACACAUGCAAUAGUUGAAUAUAAUUUACGGCGAAAUGAUUUGAACUAAUAUGAAUAAAGUUAUUACAUUUUAACAAGAAGCCAUUUUCAUUAAAAAUGAAAUCCCCUGUUUUAUGAGCUGCAAAAAAACGUUAAGAAUUGUCACCCGCCAACAAACCAGAACCUUCCCCCCCCCCCUCUUACCACCCCACCCUUUAUAAACAUCACCUUUCUUUCACUUGUCCCAAAAUUCAAAUCAUCUCUCUUUCUCUCUCUAACUUUCCCUCCUCUGUUUCUUACAUGAUCCAGCUAUAAGCAAAGCAACAAGACUCUGUUUUUGCUCUGUUGUUUUACAAUUCUGAACUCAAGCCAUGGCAACUUGUGUUUGUCUGCUAUACUUGUUUCUCUUUUCCACAUGCUGGCUUACGGUUUCAAUGUCAGAAACGCUACUUCUUCCUUUAACUCGUGCAUUCUCCAAAACCCAUUUCACCACCCCACACCACCUCCUCAAAACCACCUCUGCUCGCUCCGCCGCCCGAUUCCGCCACCGCCAUAAGCAAGUUCCACUUCCUCUUUCCUCUGGUAGCGACUAUACUCUUUCCUUCACUCUCGGCUCCCCUCCUUCCCCGCCUAUUUCCCUUUACCUUGACACAGGCAGCGACGUUGUUUGGCUUCCUUGUUCUCCAUUUGAAUGCAUCCUCUGCGAAUCAAAAGCACCACCACUCUCUCCUCCACUUAACCUUUCCGCCUCAGCCACUGCUGUCCCAUGCAAAUCCUCCGCCUGCUCAGCUGCUCACUCUUCCCUCCCUUCCUCUGACCUUUGCGCCAUGGCACGUUGUCCCCUCGACGCCAUCGAAACCUCCGACUGCAACUCCUUCCCUUGCCCUCCUUUCUACUAUGCCUACGGUGACGGCAGCUUAACCGCCCUUCUCUAUAAAGACUCUUUAACUCUCCCAAACUCUCUCUCUGUUCAAAACUUUACUUUUGGUUGCGCCCACACCACCUUGG
This 12924-nucleotide long non-coding RNA is filed under the name Gossypium barbadense (sea-island cotton). Its description in RNAcentral is "long non-coding RNA (GBAR_LNC007639)". Lineage: Eukaryota; Viridiplantae; Streptophyta; Magnoliopsida; Malvales; Malvaceae. The record is from RNAcentral.